Molecule: non-coding RNA, 409 nt
Organism: Pantherophis guttatus
Lineage: Eukaryota; Metazoa; Chordata; Lepidosauria; Squamata; Colubridae
Source: RefSeq, a predicted model, not a curated record
AUUACUCCAGAGUUGGGUGGCCUUAAAUCAAUCAAUCAGACAGUUACCUGAAGAAAAGAAGAAGACUGCUCCUUUCAGAUUAGCAAAAGCAUAAAAGGCUCAGGGAAGGAAAGACAGAAGCAGAGGGAGCUUACACCAGCGACAGUCAAACGGCCUGAAGUCCAACUUCCACCAACAGCCCUCAGAGCUUCCCUGAAAAGAGCAGAGGAAGCAACAGAAGAUGCAAAAUUAUGGAUUAAAAGGGCAGAUGGGUCUCCAAGAAAAGGGUGCAAUAAGAGGAUUAGGUCUGCAAGCAGUAAAAUCAAAGCAUGGGUAGAAUGAAUCUAAAAAGAUGGAUAAAGAGGCACCCAAAACAUUUCAGAGCAGACUGUAAUUUUGUGAAGGAAAGGAAAACAAAACACAGACCACU